This 497-nucleotide ribosomal RNA is filed under the name uncultured bacterium. RNAcentral describes it as "partial 16S ribosomal RNA". It matches the Rfam family "Bacterial small subunit ribosomal RNA", at positions 28 to 507 of the family's 1533-position model. The record is from RNAcentral.
GAUGAACGCUGGCGGCGUGCCUAAUACAUGCAAGUCGAGCGAACAGACGAGGAUCUUGCUCCUCUGACGUUAGAGGCGGUCGGGUGAGUAACUCGUGGACAACCUACCUAUAAGACUGGGAUAACUUCGGGAUACAGGAGCUAAUACCGGAUAAUAUAUUGAACAGCAUGGUUCAAUAGUGAAAGACGGUUUUGGUGUCACUAAUAGCUGGAUCCGCACCUCAUUAGUUAGUUGGUGAGGUAAAGGCUUACCAAGGCAACGAUGCGUAGCCGACCUCAGAGGGUGAUCGGCCACCCUGGAACUGAGGCACGUUCCAGACUCCUACGCGAGGCAGCAGUAGAGAAUCUUCCGCAAUGGGCGAAAGCCUAACGGAACAACACCGCGGGAAUGAUGAAGGACUUCGGAUCGGAGAACGCUGUUAGUAGGGAAGAACAAAUGUGUAAGUAGCUGUGCACGUCUUGACGGUACCAAAACAAGAAGCCACGGCUAACUACGUG